Molecule: transfer RNA, 72 nt
Filed under: Camelus bactrianus (Bactrian camel)
Lineage: Eukaryota; Metazoa; Chordata; Mammalia; Artiodactyla; Camelidae
Also listed under: 2 other names
Rfam family: tRNA
About the family: Transfer RNA (tRNA) molecules are approximately 80 nucleotides in length. Their secondary structure includes four short double-helical elements and three loops (D, anti-codon, and T loops).
Source: Rfam by way of RNAcentral
GGGGGCAUAGCUCAGAGGUAGAGUGUGUGCUUAGCAUGCACGAGGUCCUGGGUUCAAUCCCCAGUACCUCCA